GCAAUUUGUGCCCGAAGCAAAUAGGCCAAGGGCAUGUCUAGCUAGGUGUCACA
Molecule: ribosomal RNA, 53 nt
Filed under: Afzelia parviflora
Lineage: Eukaryota; Viridiplantae; Streptophyta; Magnoliopsida; Fabales; Fabaceae
Description: partial 5.8S ribosomal RNA
Source: RNAcentral